Molecule: ribosomal RNA, 253 nt
Filed under: uncultured bacterium
Lineage: Bacteria
Description: partial 16S ribosomal RNA
Rfam family: Bacterial small subunit ribosomal RNA
Source: RNAcentral
UACAGAGGUCUCAAGCGUUGUUCGGAUUCAUUGGGCGUAAAGGGUGCGUAGGCGGCGCGGUAAGUCGGGUGUGAAAUCUCGGGGCUUAACUCCGAAACUGCAUUCGAUACUGCCGUGCUUGAGGACUGGAGAGGAGACUGGAAUUUACGGUGUAGCGGUGAAAUGCGUAGAUAUCAGGAGGAGCACCGGUGGCGAAGGCGGGUCUCUGGGCCGAUACUGACGCUGAGGAGCGAAAGCGUGGGGAGCGAACAGG